GAUGAAGAACGCAUCGAAAUGCGAUAAGUAAUGCGAAUUGCAGAAUUCAGUGAAUCAUCGAAUCUUUGAACGCACAUUGCGCCCGCCAGUACUCUGGCGGGCAUGCCUGUCUGAGCGUCAUUUCAACCCUCGCGCCCGGCUUCUGUCGGGGGCGGUGUUGGGGAUCGGCCUCCCGUCUUCCGGGCGGCCGGCCCCUAAAUGGAGUGGCGACCGCGCCGUAGCCUCCUCUGCGUAGUAGUGAAACACUCGCGGGCGGAGAGCGGUGCGGCCCGCCGUAAAACCCCCAACUCUUCUAAGGUUGACCUCAGAUCAGGUAGGAAUACCCGCUGAACUUAAGCAUAUCAAUAAGCGGAGGA
This 356-nucleotide unclassified non-coding RNA is filed under the name soil metagenome. RNAcentral's name for it is "partial contains 5.8S ribosomal RNA, internal transcribed spacer 2, and large subunit ribosomal RNA". The stretch from base 1 to 120 matches the Rfam family "5.8S ribosomal RNA", at positions 35 to 154 of the family's 154-position model. The record is from RNAcentral.